GGGAAAUUUAUUUCAACAUCUCAAUAACACAAGUUCCUGUGUCUGAACAAGAGGAUAAAACAAAUCCAGAGCUCAAAUCUAUCCAGUGAGAGCCGAAGCUCCUGAGAUAAUCUCAAUAAGCUCGGUGGUAAUCGAUGCUUGACGGGUCCUGUUAUAAGUGAGGGUCAGGCGGUCGAGCACUUCACCAGCAUUUCUGCUGGAGCUGUCCAUAGCUGACAUCCUUCCACCAAGCUCACUGCAGGCAUUCUCCAAGACAGCAUUGAACAGG
Molecule: unclassified non-coding RNA, 268 nt
Filed under: Hevea brasiliensis (rubber tree)
Lineage: Eukaryota; Viridiplantae; Streptophyta; Magnoliopsida; Malpighiales; Euphorbiaceae
Source: RNAcentral